GAUGAUAUAGAAAAUAAUGAUACGGCGAUACCCCGAAUGUUAAACAAUGGGUUGUCUGCUGCUCAAUCCCUUGAACAAGAAGAGCAUUGUCCUUCAUCAACUCGAUGUUGAGCACUAGACGGCAGGUUGUUUUGUUAGUGUCUAAGAAUCAAUCGUUGCCGUUGGGAUGUGUAUUGUUCAACCCACACUCAGUCACCAUAUCGGCGUGAAAUGGGCUUGUUCUUCAGUUGAUAAGAAGUCUACUGGCCGAGAUUCAUGAAGAUGAGGGAGCGGGUGUGGGUGGUAAUACUUGAUGCGCUGCAAAUAAUCAUUUUGAGAAGCUUGUAGGUCUGUCGAGGGGCCUGAGGACCAGCAGCGUGCUGGUCCUCUCCGGGACUACAAGGCGACUGAAUGCAAGAUAAGACCCCACGAGAGCCAUCUCAAACGGCUUCGCGAUCAUGACUACCGUCUUGCAUCCUACAUCUGGCUACCUGCGAAGCCGACUGCAGAAGUUCUUCAAACAAGCCUGGACCGUGAUGGGGCUCUGCGUUGUCCAAGCGACUGGUCACGUGAUACAUGACAUGGCGUUUGUUGAUACGACGCCCCAAGAAGGAAAUUGUGAGAUUGGAUUGGAGACAGGGCGAGGAGGA
Molecule: small RNA, 629 nt
Filed under: Histoplasma capsulatum
Lineage: Eukaryota; Fungi; Ascomycota; Eurotiomycetes; Onygenales; Ajellomycetaceae
Also listed under: 1 other name
Description: hypothetical RNA
Source: RNAcentral